UACAGAGGGUGCGAGCGUUAAUCGGAAUUACUGGGCGUAAAGCGCGCGUAGGCGGUUAAUUAAGUCAGAUGUGAAAGCCCAGGGCUCAACCUUGGAACUGCAUUUGAAACUGGUUAACUAGAGUUUUGUAGAGGGUGGUAGAAUUUCCAGUGUAGCGGUGAAAUGCGUAGAGAUUGGAAGGAAUACCAGUGGCGAAGGCGGCCACCUGGACAGAGACUGACGCUGAGGCGCGAAGGCGUGGGGAGCAAACGGG
Molecule: ribosomal RNA, 253 nt
Filed under: uncultured bacterium
Lineage: Bacteria
Description: partial 16S ribosomal RNA
Rfam family: Bacterial small subunit ribosomal RNA
Source: RNAcentral